Molecule: non-coding RNA, 113 nt
Organism: Acanthosepion pharaonis
Lineage: Eukaryota; Metazoa; Mollusca; Cephalopoda; Sepiida; Sepiidae
Source: the annotation of a GenBank genome assembly
GGAGGCCAUAUCACACUGAAACACCAUUUCGCGUACGAUCACCAAAGUUAAGCAGCAUCGAACAUGAUCAGUAACUAGAUGGGUGACCGUUUAGGAAUACCAGAUGACGCAAG